RNAcentral lists this ribosomal RNA (290 nucleotides) under Staphylococcus aureus. RNAcentral describes it as "partial 16S ribosomal RNA". It matches the Rfam family "Bacterial small subunit ribosomal RNA", at positions 1 to 280 of the family's 1533-position model. Lineage: Bacteria; Bacillati; Bacillota; Bacilli; Caryophanales; Staphylococcaceae. The record is from RNAcentral.
UUUAUGGAGAGUUUGAUCCUGGCUCAGGAUGAACGCUGGCGGCGUGCCUAAUACAUGCAAGUCGAGCGAACGGACGAGAAGCUUGCUUCUCUGAUGUUAGCGGCGGACGGGUGAGUAACACGUGGAUAACCUACCUAUAAGACUGGGAUAACUUCGGGAAACCGGAGCUAAUACCGGAUAAUAUUUUGAACCGCAUGGUUCAAAAGUGAAAGACGGUCUUGCUGUCACUUAUAGAUGGAUCCGCGCUGCAUUAGCUAGUUGGUAAGGUAACGGCUUACCAAGGCAACGAU